AUUCCAGCUCCAAUAGCGUAUAUUUAAGUUGUUGCAGUUAAAAAGCUCGUAGUUGGAUUUCGGAUGAAUGCGACCGGUCCGCUGUUUUGGUGUGCACUGGUUGCGUCCAUCUUGCUGUCGGGGACGCGCUCCUGGCCUUAGCUGGCUGGGACGUGGAGUCGGCGAAGUUACUUUGAAAAAAUUAGAGUGUUCAAAGCAGGCCUACGCUCUGAAUACAUUAGCAUGGAAUAACGCGAUAGGACUCUGGUCUUAUUGUGUUGGUCUUCGAGACCGGAGUAAUGAUUAAGAGGGACAGUUGGGGGCAUUCGUAUUUCAUUGUCAGAGGUGAAAUUCUUGGAUUUAUGAAAGACGAACUUCUGCGAAAGCAUUUGCCAAGGAUGUUUUCAUUA
RNAcentral lists this ribosomal RNA (389 nucleotides) under Pyramimonadales sp. RNAcentral describes it as "partial small subunit ribosomal RNA". It matches the Rfam family "Eukaryotic small subunit ribosomal RNA", at positions 582 to 975 of the family's 1831-position model. Lineage: Eukaryota; Viridiplantae; Chlorophyta; Pyramimonadophyceae; Pyramimonadales. The record is from RNAcentral.